GGUCCUGUAGUUCAAUGGAUAGAACGGAAGUUUCCUAAACUUUAAAUCGGGGUUCGAUUCCCCGCGGGACUA
Molecule: transfer RNA, 72 nt
Filed under: Tannerella sp.
Lineage: Bacteria; Pseudomonadati; Bacteroidota; Bacteroidia; Bacteroidales; Tannerellaceae
Description: tRNA-Arg
Rfam family: tRNA
About the family: Transfer RNA (tRNA) molecules are approximately 80 nucleotides in length. Their secondary structure includes four short double-helical elements and three loops (D, anti-codon, and T loops).
Source: RNAcentral